This 465-nucleotide ribosomal RNA is filed under the name Vreelandella stevensii. RNAcentral's name for it is "partial 16S ribosomal RNA". It matches the Rfam family "Bacterial small subunit ribosomal RNA", at positions 338 to 795 of the family's 1533-position model. The record is from RNAcentral. Lineage: Bacteria; Pseudomonadati; Pseudomonadota; Gammaproteobacteria; Oceanospirillales; Halomonadaceae.
CCUACGGGGGGCAGCAGUGGGGAAUAUUGGACAAUGGGGGCAACCCUGAUCCAGCCAUGCCGCGUGUGUGAAGAAGGCCCUCGGGUUGUAAAGCACUUUCAGUGAGGAAGAACGCCUGGUGGUUAAUACCCAUCAGGAAAGACAUCACUCACAGAAGAAGCACCGGCUAACUCCGUGCCAGCAGCCGCGGUAAUACGGAGGGUGCGAGCGUUAAUCGGAAUUACUGGGCGUAAAGCGCGCGUAGGUGGCUUGAUAAGCCGGUUGUGAAAGCCCCGGGCUCAACCUGGGAACGGCAUCCGGAACUGUCAAGCUAGAGUGCAGGAGAGGAAGGUAGAAUUCCCGGUGUAGCGGUGAAAUGCGUGGAGAUCGGGAGGAAUACCAGUGGCGAAGGCGGCCUUCUGGACUGACACUGACACUGAGGUGCGAAAGCGUGGGUAGCAAACAGGAUUAGAUACCCUGGUAGUC